RNAcentral lists this unclassified non-coding RNA (211 nucleotides) under fungal sp. RNAcentral describes it as "partial internal transcribed spacer region". The stretch from base 1 to 46 matches the Rfam family "Eukaryotic small subunit ribosomal RNA", at positions 1786 to 1831 of the family's 1831-position model. Lineage: Eukaryota; Fungi. The record is from RNAcentral.
GAGUCGUAACAAGGUUUCCGUAGGUGAACCUGCGGAAGGAUCAUUAACACGUAUCCAAACGUUAAAACCCCCCCCGUGAACCUUCAUCCUGCUCUUGUAACCCGCGUAGUUCGCAAUCUCUGAUAAAUCAUAGCCCGGAAAGUUGUAGGUGAUUCAGAGACCUCUGGCUACGUGCAAAAUGCAACUGUUAACAAUGGAUAUCUUGGUUCUC